Molecule: ribosomal RNA, 377 nt
Filed under: uncultured bacterium
Lineage: Bacteria
Description: bacterial SSU rRNA
Rfam family: Bacterial small subunit ribosomal RNA
Source: RNAcentral
UAAUACGUAGGGGGCAAGCGUUGUCCGGAAUCAUUGGGCGUAAAGAGCGCGUAGGCGGCCCGACAAGUCCGCUGUGAAAGUCAAGGGCUCAACCCUUGAAUGCCGGUGGAUACUGUCGGGCUAGAGUCCGGAAGAGGCGAGUGGAAUUCCUGGUGUAGCGGUGAAAUGCGCAGAUAUCAGGAGGAACACCGAUGGCGAAGGCAGCUCGCUGGGACGGUACUGACGCUGAGGCGCGAAAGCGUGGGGAGCAAACAGGAUUAGAUACCCUGGUAGUCCACGCCGUAAACGAUGGGCACUAGGUGUGGGGGGUGUCGACUCCCCCCGUGCCGCAGCUAACGCAUUAAGUGCCCCGCCUGGGGAGUACGGCCGCAAGGCUA